UAGGGAAUCUUCGGCAAUGGACGAAAGUCUGACCGAGCAACGCCGCGUGAGUGAAGAAGGUUUUCGGAUCGUAAAACUCUGUUGUUAGAGAAGAACAAGGACGUUAGUAACUGAACGUCCCCUGACGGUAUCUAACCAGAAAGCCACGGCUAACUACGUGCCAGCAGCCGCGGUAAUACGUAGGUGGCAAGCGUUGUCCGGAUUUAUUGGGCGUAAAGCGAGCGCAGGCGGUUUCUUAAGUCUGAUGUGAAAGCCCCCGGCUAAACCGGGGAGGGUCAUUGGAAACUGGGAGACUUGAGUGCAGAAGAGGAGAGUGGAAUUCCAUGUGUAGCGGUGAAAUGCGUAGAUAUAUGGAGGAACACCAGUGGCGAAGGCGGCUCUCUGGUCUGUAACUGACGCUGAGGCUCGAAAGCGUGGCGAGCAAACAGG
Molecule: ribosomal RNA, 429 nt
Filed under: Gemmatimonadota bacterium
Lineage: Bacteria; Pseudomonadati; Gemmatimonadota
Description: Gemmatimonadetes bacterium partial 16S ribosomal RNA
Rfam family: Bacterial small subunit ribosomal RNA
Source: RNAcentral